ACUAACACAUGAAGGAAUAGUACUGUAUGUUCAUGUAGUAUCAUGAUUCUUGAAAGUAAUAUGAAAAUAACAAGUUAACUAAAGACAAAGUUACUCACUAAGGGAUAGCAUUUUACAGACUGAUGCUCAAUCUCACACCCAGCAUUCCUUAAAAUUGCAG
Molecule: long non-coding RNA, 160 nt
Organism: Amphimedon queenslandica
Lineage: Eukaryota; Metazoa; Porifera; Demospongiae; Haplosclerida; Niphatidae
Exons: 2
Source: RefSeq, a predicted model, not a curated record